Brienomyrus brachyistius is the source of this 237-nucleotide long non-coding RNA. RefSeq lists it as uncharacterized. The record is from RefSeq and is a predicted model, not a curated record. Lineage: Eukaryota; Metazoa; Chordata; Actinopteri; Osteoglossiformes; Mormyridae. The transcript has 2 exons.
AAUGAAUAGGAGAGGGAGUAAGGAGAAUUCCCAGAAGGCCCUGCUUCAUGGUGCCUCCCACUGGUUAAAAGGGGGCGUGACGAGUUUCCUCUUCCUCUUUCCCUGUCUCUUCGAGGAAGAGAAUGUUGAGCUGCUACAUGCUGCUGGGGAAUUAAUCCUUUGCUCUUCAUUACCAGGAAGAGAGAGAGGAAAAGACACGUGCCAAUAAAGGGACGUCGGAUCCCGAGUCCAGAGGAA